Long non-coding RNA from Oreochromis aureus, 424 nucleotides. The record is from Ensembl. Lineage: Eukaryota; Metazoa; Chordata; Actinopteri; Cichliformes; Cichlidae.
AAGCUAAGCAGAAGUUAUUUGGAGAGGAGAGGAUAAUGGCUGCUGAAGAAAGAAUGCCGUUGGUUGAAAAGAGAGUUGCUGUUUUCACCUUACCUCGUGCUCCACCUCUGGACUCAGGAUACCAAGCAAACAUUUUGAAAAUCACUCUGUGCCUCACCUGCCUGCCCUCCUGCCAUCACACUGAAGACCCCGGAUCUCAGGUCAGCCUUGUCACACCACUCAGCCCCCCCGGAUUCUCAUCACCCCCCUCUCAACACUCUAUGUCCCCAACUGCAAUGUGACUGUUCCCUGCUCAGCUCCACUCUGCAUCUCAGGCCCCGUUCCCUCGCCCUAGCCACGCCACGCCACGUCAAACUCCACGUCUUAUUGUUUUUUGUCCUUGCUACGUUUCUUGCACUCCAGCCUAAUAAAUUAUUGUUACAUC